UAGGGAAUAUUGGACAAUGGGCGAAAGCCUAAUCCAGCAAUACCGCGUGAAUGAUGAAGGUCUUAGGAUUGUAAAGUUCUUUCGGUGGGGAAGAUAAUGACGGUACCCACAGAAGAAGCACCGGCUAACUUCGUGCCAGCAGCCGCGGUAAUACGAAGGGUGCUAGCGUUAUUCGGAAUCACUGGGCGUAAAGAGUGUAAAGGCGGUUAGAUAAGUCAGUUGUGAAAGCCCUGAGCUUAACUCAGGAAUUGCGAUUGAAACUAUCUUGCUAGAGUAUAGUAGGCGAUGGCGGAAUUCUUAGUGUAGGGGUGAAAUCCGUAGAUAUUAAGAGGAACACCGGUGGUGAAGACGGCUAUCUUGACUAUAACUGACGCUACAACACGAAGGUAUGGGUAGCAAACAGG
Molecule: ribosomal RNA, 404 nt
Filed under: uncultured prokaryote
Also listed under: 1 other name
Description: bacterial SSU rRNA
Rfam family: Bacterial small subunit ribosomal RNA
Source: RNAcentral